This 443-nucleotide ribosomal RNA is filed under the name uncultured bacterium. RNAcentral's name for it is "partial 16S ribosomal RNA". It matches the Rfam family "Bacterial small subunit ribosomal RNA", at positions 338 to 795 of the family's 1533-position model. The record is from RNAcentral.
CCUACGGGAGGCAGCAGUGGGGAAUAUUGGGCAAUGGAGGCAACUCUGACCCAGCCACGCCGCGUGAAUGAUGAAGGUCUUCGGAUUGUUAAGUUCUGUGAUGGGGGAAGAACACAAUGACGGUACCCCAAUAGCAAGCCACGGCUAACUACGGGCCAGCAGCCGCGGUAAUACGUAGGUGGCAAGCGUUAUCCGGAAUGACUGGGCGUACAGGGUGCGUAGGUGGUUUAGUAAGUUGGCGGUGUAAUUCCGGGGCUCAACCUCGGCACUACCGCUAAAACUAUUAGACUAGAGUGCAGGGGGGGUAAGUGGAAUGCGUAGUGUAGCGGUGGAAUGCGUAGAUAUUAGGAGGAACAUCAGGGGCGAAGGCGACUUACUGGACUGUAACUGACACUGAGGCACGAAAGCGUGGUGAGCAAACAGGAUUAGAUACCCCGGUAGUC